UAUGAGGAAUUAUCAAAGGGGUAUAAACUGCAUGAACAAACUUAUAAUAAAUUUAGGCUAAUUAUUAUUGUGAGAUUAAUGACUUCAGUUUAAUUGACUAUAAUUUGAAGUACAUACCUUUCAUUAUGGAUUCUCUGUUAACUUUCUAGUAUUGAUCCAAGCAUUGAAACAGAGCCAGAAAACCUUUCUGCAAUAAUCAUGACACUGGUGAAGACGAUGAGAAAUCAGGCGUAAAAAUGGUUCACUACAUGUGAUUGUAACUAUGUUUUUAAUUAGGGUGAAUGUAUUAGUGAUCAUGAUGAUGAAGAUAUUGUACUGAGAGACUUAUGAAUGAUAGUCACAAGUGUGAAUUUUUGAUGUGGAAGAUUAUUCUGGAAAUAUUAGUAUAGUAGGUGCUCCUUUAAUUCAUAUUAAUUUAUUAAUUUAGCAAGGCCACUAGUAUACAUUCUAUAGUUACCUUAUCUCACUAAGUUUCAAGACAAGAAUAUCUUAGCUCUUGUUAAGUUCACUUCAAAUAGCAUUGAAUUUUUUUGUGAACCUGCCUUCAUCAUGCUGGUUAAGGAAGUUAUGUUAUGGAACUAAGCUUUGUAGGACUAUGUGUGACAAGAUACCUUUGAAAGAUCUGCUUCACUACAUGGAACCCAAGAGUUCAUUAAUGUUGGAGAUUUUGGGAAAUUAAUUUCUCAGUAAUAACAUUGGUAGACUAUGAUGAAGAAAACAAUUAUAAUCUUUUUUUUGGUUUUAAUAAUAAUUCCAAAUCAUUUUAAAUUAA
Amphimedon queenslandica is the source of this 772-nucleotide long non-coding RNA. RefSeq lists it as uncharacterized. Lineage: Eukaryota; Metazoa; Porifera; Demospongiae; Haplosclerida; Niphatidae. The record is from RefSeq and is a predicted model, not a curated record. The transcript has 6 exons.